This 692-nucleotide ribosomal RNA is filed under the name Shigella sonnei. RNAcentral describes it as "partial 23S ribosomal RNA". It matches the Rfam family "Bacterial large subunit ribosomal RNA", at positions 187 to 920 of the family's 2925-position model. Lineage: Bacteria; Pseudomonadati; Pseudomonadota; Gammaproteobacteria; Enterobacterales; Enterobacteriaceae. The record is from RNAcentral.
GGGGAACUGAAACAUCUAAGUACCCCGAGGAAAAGAAAUCAACCGAGAUUCCCCCAGUAGCGGCGAGCGAACGGGGAGGAGCCCAGAGCCUGAAUCAGUGUGUGUGUUAGUGGAAGCGUCUGGAAAGGCGCGCGAUACAGGGUGACAGCCCCGUACACAAAAAUACACAUAUUGUGAGCUCGAUGAGUAGGGCGGGACACGUGGUAUCCUGUCUGAAUAUGGGGGGACCAUCCUCCAAGGCUAAAUACUCCUGACUGACCGAUAGUGAACCAGUACCGUGAGGGAAAGGCGAAAAGAACCCCGGCGAGGGGAGUGAAAAAGAACCUGAAACCGUGUACGUACAAGCAGUGGGAGCACGCUUAGGCGUGUGACUGCGUACCUUUUGUAUAAUGGGUCAGCGACUUAUAUUCUGUAGCAAGGUUAACCGAAUAGGGGAGCCGAAGGGAAACCGAGUCUUAACUGGGCGUUAAGUUGCAGGGUAUAGACCCGAAACCCGGUGAUCUAGCCAUGGGCAGGUUGAAGGUUGGGUAACACUAACUGGAGGACCGAACCGACUAAUGUUGAAAAAUUAGCGGAUGACUUGUGGCUGGGGGUGAAAGGCCAAUCAAACCGGGAGAUAGCUGGUUCUCCCCGAAAGCUAUUUAGGUAGCGCCUCGUGAAUUCAUCUCCGGGGGUAGAGCACUGUUUCGGCA